GGACCGCAUUCAUUGAUUGAUUGGUUGAAUAAAUAGUGUUGUAGCUACACAGAGUCACAGGCACAUUCACAUUUGCAUUUGGAGAGCAAUGGCGGAAGUCAAGAACACGCAGGUGAUAUUGAAGGAGUACGUGUCGGCCGGAUUCCCAAAAGGAAUCAGACAUGGCCGUCGUCAGUACCACCACCAAACUGAAGCUUCCAGAAGGCUCCACCGGGGUUCUGGUGAAGAACCUCUACUUGUCCUGCGAUCCUUACAUGAGAAGCCGCAUGACUAAGCGCAACUCUGCUUCUUAUGUCGAUCGCUUCAACCCCGGCCAGCCUAUGGCUAAAGUUUUGGAAUCUGGUGAUGCAAUGUUUAAGCAAGGCGAAUUGAUUUGGGGAAUGACUGGCUGGGAAGAGUAUAGUCUUAUCACUUCCGUUCAGGCGUUGUUUAAGAUUCCCACCACCGAUGUGCCUCUCUCUUACUAUACUGGAAUUCUUGGUAUGCCUGGUAUGACUGCCUAUGCUGGCUUCUACGAGAUCUGCUCUCCUAAGAAAGGAGAGACAGUCUAUGUUUCAGCAGAGCAUCAGGAGCGGUCGGUCAGCUUGUUGGCCAAUUUGCCAAGUUGACCGGGUGCUAUGUUGUAGGGAGUGCUGGAAGCCAAGACAAGGUUGAUUUGCUGAAGAACAAGUUUGGCUUUGACGAAGCCUUCAAUUAUAAAGAAGAAACUAACUUGGACGCAGUUUUGAAAAGGUACUUUGAAAAUGUUGGGGGAAAGAUGCUCGAUGCAGUGCUACCGAACAUGAAGAUUGGAGGGCGAAUCUCAGUUUGUGGGAUGAUCUCACAGUACAACCUGGUGCAACCUGAAGGUGUGCAUAAUUUAAUGUAUCUGGUGUGAGUGGUGUCUAAACAGCUGCGCAUGGAAGGCUUCCUGGUUGCAAAAUACUUUCCUGUCUACGGCAAGUUUCUCGAAUUUGUUCUGCCUUACAUAAAAGAAGGCAAGGUUGCAUACGUUGAAGAUGUUGUUGAAGGCCUGGAGAAUGCUCCAUCGGCUCUGCUUGGCCUCUUUGCUGGCCACAAUGUAGGAAAGCAGGUGGUUGUUGUUUCCCGAGAAUGGAUGACUAGCUACAUCCAUGGAUUCAUCUCAAUGAAACUGAAACUAAACUUUACAUGA
Molecule: RNA transcript, 1153 nt
Organism: Fragaria vesca subsp. vesca
Lineage: Eukaryota; Viridiplantae; Streptophyta; Magnoliopsida; Rosales; Rosaceae
Gene name: NADP-dependent alkenal double bond reductase P2-like
Exons: 5
Source: RefSeq, a predicted model, not a curated record